CACGUAGGGCGCAAGCGUUGUCCGGAAUUAUUGGGCGUAAAGAGCUCGUAGGCGGUUUGUCGCGUCUGCUGUGAAAUCUGGGGGCUCAACCCCCAGCCUGCAGUGGGUACGGGCAGACUAGAGUGCGGUAGGGGAGAUUGGAAUUCCUGGUGUAGCGGUGGAAUGCGCAGAUAUCAGGAGGAACACCGAUGGCGAAGGCAGAUCUCUGGGCCGUAACUGACGCUGAGGAGCGAAAGCAUGGGGAGCGAACAGG
RNAcentral lists this ribosomal RNA (253 nucleotides) under uncultured bacterium. RNAcentral's name for it is "partial 16S ribosomal RNA". It matches the Rfam family "Bacterial small subunit ribosomal RNA", at positions 524 to 776 of the family's 1533-position model. The record is from RNAcentral.